AGCUCAAUUGGUUGGAUAGAGCAUUUGACUACAAAUCAAAAAACUAAAGGUUCAACUCCUCUUA
This 64-nucleotide transfer RNA is filed under the name Endomicrobium sp. Its description in RNAcentral is "tRNA-Cys". It matches the Rfam family "tRNA", at positions 9 to 65 of the family's 71-position model. Rfam says of the family: Transfer RNA (tRNA) molecules are approximately 80 nucleotides in length. Their secondary structure includes four short double-helical elements and three loops (D, anti-codon, and T loops). Lineage: Bacteria; Pseudomonadati; Elusimicrobiota; Endomicrobiia; Endomicrobiales; Endomicrobiaceae. The record is from RNAcentral.